GACAUCAUUGUCUUAGUGAGGAAUAUCCAAAAUAUAAUCAAUUUUAUCAUGUUUAUCCUGACUGCUAUUAACAUCUGGAAGGUAAAGAGAGAACUGAAGAGGUUUGAGCGACAGAGAGAGAUGACAACGACGUGCUUUAAUUUCGAUACUCAAACUUAUGCAAUCUUUUUGAGAAUUACCGUCAUCAUGGGUGGAAUUUGGAUUUUUAAUACCAUUUUAUUUUUUUGGAUAUGGCUAAAUACGACGUCGAUGGUUUAUAUACGAUCCUUUAUAAUGCCCACUUCUGCUUUGGUAUUCUAUACUUUAUUCUGCUAGUCCUAAAGCGCAGCACCCUAGAGCUUCUGAUGGAUAGCAUUCGUGAAAGAAGAAAUGAAAAGCGAAUCCGUGCUCAGAGAGAAAAUGACCUGGCCCAAAUAUCUAAAUGUAUCGAAAUAAAUGUGUUUAUUUCAUAAUUUAUAUGAACACCUUUUUGCCACUUUAAAAAAUUAAGCAAUA
Long non-coding RNA from Drosophila biarmipes, 495 nucleotides. RefSeq lists it as uncharacterized. Lineage: Eukaryota; Metazoa; Arthropoda; Insecta; Diptera; Drosophilidae. The record is from RefSeq and is a predicted model, not a curated record. The transcript is spliced from 3 exons.